Molecule: long non-coding RNA, 275 nt
Filed under: Theobroma cacao (cacao)
Lineage: Eukaryota; Viridiplantae; Streptophyta; Magnoliopsida; Malvales; Malvaceae
Description: long non-coding RNA (TCAC_LNC002927)
Source: RNAcentral
AAAUUGAGUAAUUUGAGACUGUUUGAUUAUGUUGUAAAUUUAUGGUUUGAAUUGAAUGGCUUAUGGUGAUAUUGGCAUGAAUGGCUGAAUUGGAAAUUGUGUUCAAAUUGUAUGAACUGUUUGUUUUGCCUUAACAGGCUGGGUAGUAAUAUAAUUGCCAUGUCAUGCUGUCGAAACUUUUAUUGAUUUGGUGGGAUAUUGAUUAGUCACUGCAGUGGUGGGUUUUCGUGGACCAGCCUAUUAGAAAGGGGCACGGUAAACCCGGUUAUAUUUUA